AGUGAACGCUGGCGGUAGGCCUAACACAUGCAAGUCGAACGGCAGCACAGUAAGAGCUUGCUCUUACGGGUGGCGAGUGGCGGACGGGUGAGGAAUACAUCGGAAUCUACUUUUUCGUGGGGGAUAACGUAGGGAAACUUACGCUAAUACCGCAUACGACCUACGGGUGAAAGCAGGGGAUCUUCGGACCUUGCGCGAUUGAAUGAGCCGAUGUCGGAUUAGCUAGUUGGCGGGGUAAAGGCCCACCAAGGCGACGAUCCGUAGCUGGUCUGAGAGGAUGACCGGCCACACUGGAACUGAGCACCGGUCCAGCCCCCUCGGGGAGGCGGCGGUGGGGAAUUUUGAACAAGGGGCGCAGGCCUGACCCAGCCAUCCCGCGGGGGGGAAAAAGGCCUUCGGGUUGUAAACCCUUUUUGUUGGGAAAAAAAAGCAGCAGGUUAAUCCCCCGCUUUUCUGACGUUCCCCAAAAAAUAAGCCCCGGCUAACUUCGUC
Molecule: ribosomal RNA, 492 nt
Filed under: uncultured bacterium
Lineage: Bacteria
Description: partial 16S ribosomal RNA
Rfam family: Bacterial small subunit ribosomal RNA
Source: RNAcentral